UACGUAGGUGGCAAGCGUUGUCCGGAUUUAUUGGGCGUAAAGCGCGCGCAGGCGGUCCUUUAAGUCUGAUGUGAAAGCCCACGGCUUAACCGUGGAGGGUCAUUGGAAACUGAGGGACUUGAGUACAGAAGAGGAGAGUGGAAUUCCACGUGUAGCGGUGAAAUGCGUAGAGAUGUGGAGGAACACCAGUGGCGAAGGCGACUCUCUGGUCUGUAACUGACGCUGAGGUGCGAAAGCGUGGGUAGCAAACAGGAUUAGAUACCCGGGUA
This 269-nucleotide ribosomal RNA is filed under the name uncultured prokaryote. RNAcentral describes it as "partial 16S ribosomal RNA". It matches the Rfam family "Bacterial small subunit ribosomal RNA", at positions 524 to 792 of the family's 1533-position model. The record is from RNAcentral.